RNAcentral lists this non-coding RNA (186 nucleotides) under Syntrophomonadaceae bacterium. Its description in RNAcentral is "6S RNA". It matches the Rfam family "6S / SsrS RNA". From Rfam's summary of the family: E. coli 6S RNA was the first non coding RNA to be sequenced, but its function was unknown until recently. It consists of 184 nucleotides that fold into an extended hairpin structure with a large single-stranded internal bulge. The 6S RNA specifically associates with RNA polymerase holoenzyme containing the sigma70 specificity factor. The record is from RNAcentral. RNAcentral also lists the same sequence under 1 other name. Lineage: Bacteria; Bacillati; Bacillota; Clostridia; Eubacteriales; Syntrophomonadaceae.
AAGUCCCUGCUGUGUUCGUGAUAAGCCGGUUGAUUUUGGCCCAACACCAAAAUUAAGGGAGCCUGGCCUCUGAGUGUAGCUUGCAGGCCCUCGUUAGAAGGGACGUAAAAAACAUUCAGGAGGGCACCCACCUGCAGGGGAAGCAGGUUCAAAAUAGCCGGUGUGACACGACUCGGUGGGGCUUUU